UGGAGCGGAAAGAGCCGAGUGAGAAGAAAUGGCAUUCCUGUUUGCCAUGAAAUAACCAAAGCAGAGAGAGACUUGGAUCAUGAAGUGAUGGGUGCACUGGGGGACCAUAAAGUGGUAGAAGAAGGAUGCCCACAAGUAGAUCAGUGAAUUCAACUACCCCAGCAGGGUUUCCUCAGCCAGCUGGUUCUAACUUAGAAAGGCACUACUGGGUUGCCCUGUGAUGAGCCCACCAGUCACAAAUGACAACCGUGUUCGUGUCACUAUUGGCAGAAGCAGGUGGUGUGUUCUCUCACUUAACACAACAGGUUUACAUCACCACCCUUAGCACCCAAACCCUGGUAGCUUGAAGCAUGGCUCUGCUCUGUCUCUCUACAAAGUCUAUAAAAACCCUCCGGUUCCCACAAGGCUAAUCGAUGAAAACGUAUGGUUCUCAGUACGCAGAUCCUAUCACACCUUGUGUUCCAGACACUGUUUCAAACGGGCUGUGAAGUCAUAUCAGGUUCGACAGUCUGAAGCAUGAAUAUUACUCACUGAAACACUGCCAUAAGAAUUAGGAAAAGAAAUCAGGGCCGGUUUUUUCAGGCUAAAUUUAAAUAUGGAAUUCAGCAACCGAAGAACUCUCUUGGUCAGAUCCAGCAGUCAUGACCAGGAAGUCCAGUUCUGCUGGCAUCCGGUUGUCUUCCCGAGGCAGUUCUGAUUCCUGGUACUUUACAAGACUGAUGGAUCGAAAUUCUGCUGAGUUUUCCGGAUUCUACCACUCUCCCAGACUCCACACCGGAAAAAAAUCCAGAUCCAGGGAUCCUGCUCCAGGACCUGCAACGACAGUUUCCUAAGGCACACUCUUUCAGUCAUCUGCUAAUUAGAAAUUUCAUUUUUAAAUGUUAAACCUAAGUGCAGAGUGAAUCCUGUAUCCCCUGCAUCCUCAGGAGAUGGAGGUGGAAGAAUAAGAGUUCAAGGCCAUCCUCAGCUACUCGACCAGUUAGAGACCAGCCUGGAUUACACAACCCUGCCUCAAAAACCAAAAAUAGAGCAUGUUAAACCGUAGGAAAUAGAACAUCGCCAUGUUUUUUAUAGGUAGUAUUUACUGCAAAACAGAAACAUGAUAUCCUGAAAGAUGUGUGUGUGUGUGUGUGUCUGUCUGUCUGUCUGUCUUAUUUUCUGGCACAUGGGCCUUUACAUAAGGAUGGGUCUUCU
Molecule: long non-coding RNA, 1194 nt
Filed under: Mus spicilegus (steppe mouse)
Lineage: Eukaryota; Metazoa; Chordata; Mammalia; Rodentia; Muridae
Description: lncRNA (ENSMSIG00000012156.1)
Source: RNAcentral